GUUCUUGUAGCUUACAACAAAGCAUGGCACUGAAGAUGCCAAGACGGCCCCACACCAACCCAAGAACA
RNAcentral lists this transfer RNA (68 nucleotides) under Otidiphaps nobilis. Its description in RNAcentral is "tRNA-Phe". Lineage: Eukaryota; Metazoa; Chordata; Aves; Columbiformes; Columbidae. The record is from RNAcentral.